GACGAACGCUGGCGGCGUGCCUAAUACAUGCAAGUCGAGCGAAGUUUUUCUGGUGCUUGCACUAGAAAAACUUAGCGGCGAACGGGUGAGUAACACGUAAAGAACCUGCCUCAUAGACGGGGACAACUAUUGGAAACGAUAGCUAAUACCGGAUAACAGCAUAAAUCGCAUGAUAUAUGUUUAAAAGUUGGUUUCGGCUAACACUAUGAGAUGGCUUUGCGGUGCAUUAGCUAGUUGGUGGGGUAAAGGCCUACCAAGGCGACGAUGCAUAGCCGACCUGAGAGGGUGAUCGGCCACACUGGGACUGAGACACGGCCCAGACUCCUACGGGAGGCAGCAGUAGGGAAUCUUCCGCAAUGGGCGAAAGCCUGACGGAGCAACGCCGCGUGAGUGAAGAAGGAUUUCGGUUCGUAAAGCUCUGUUGUUAGGGAAGAAUGAUUGUAUAGUAACUAUAUACAGUAGAGACGGUAC
Molecule: ribosomal RNA, 471 nt
Filed under: Gemella sanguinis
Lineage: Bacteria; Bacillati; Bacillota; Bacilli; Caryophanales; Gemellaceae
Description: bacterial SSU rRNA
Rfam family: Bacterial small subunit ribosomal RNA
Source: RNAcentral